AACGAACGCUGGCGGCAUGCCUAACACAUGCAAGUCGAACGAGACCUUCGGGUCUAGUGGCGCACGGGUGCGUAACGCGUGGGAACCUGCCCUUAGGUUCGGAAUAACUCCCCGAAAGGGGUGCUAAUACCGGAUAAUGUCUUCGGACCAAAGAUUUAUCGCCUUUGGAUGGGCCCGCGUUGGAUUAGCUAGUUGGUAGGGUAAAAGCCUACCAAGGCGACGAUCCAUAGCUGGUCUGAGAGGAUGAUCAGCCACACUGGGACUGGGACACGGCCCAGACUCCUACGGGAGGCAGCAGUGGGGAAUAUUGGACAAUGGGCGAAAGCCUGAUCCAGCAAUGCCGCGUGAGUGAUGAAGGCCUUAGGGUUGUAAAGCUCUUUUACCCGGGAUGAUAAUGACAGUACCGGGAGAAUAAGCACCGGCUAACUCCGUG
Molecule: ribosomal RNA, 433 nt
Filed under: uncultured bacterium
Lineage: Bacteria
Description: partial 16S ribosomal RNA
Rfam family: Bacterial small subunit ribosomal RNA
Source: RNAcentral